UGUUCGAGCGUCAUUACAACCCUCAAGCUCUGCUUGGUAUUAAGCCUCACCCGAAAGGGCGGGCUCUAAAAUCAGUGGCGGUGCAUUCGGCUUCAAGCGUAGUAAUUUUCUCGCUUUGGAGGACCGGGUGUGUGCCUGCCAUAACCCCAAUUUUAUCAAAGGUUGACCUCGGAUCAGGUAGGGAUACCCGCUGAACUUAA
RNAcentral lists this unclassified non-coding RNA (200 nucleotides) under soil metagenome. Its description in RNAcentral is "partial contains internal transcribed spacer 2 and large subunit ribosomal RNA". The record is from RNAcentral.